GGAAGUAAAAGUCGUAACAAGGUCUCCGUAGGUGAACUGCGGAGGGAUCAUUAACGAAUGGCCUUUGGCCUUUCGACCUUGUAAACCCGUGGAAGGAAGAUUGCUUAGGUGCUUUUGGCGCCUUGUUUAUGCCGUAAGGUAUUGGUCUGAAUCAAACAUAAUUUAAAACUUUCAACAAAGGAUCUCUUGGCUCUCGCAUCGAUGAAGAACGCAGCGAAGCGCGAAAUGUAGUGUGAAUCGCAGAAAAUUGUGAAUCAUCGAAUCUUUGAACGCACAUUGCGCCUCCUUUCCGGGAGGCAUGCCUGUCUGAGCGUCGUUUAAACCGUAGCACCCACAGAGGGUCUGUCUUGGGCAUCGCCUUUGGGCGUAGCCUCGAAGCGAUCGGUCUGAAGAGCGGAUGAAAUCCAUUAGGACGGACCGUUCUGCGACCUUAAACUUUGGAUUUGACCUCAGAUCAGGUAGGACUACCGCCUGAACUUAAGCAUAUCAAUAAGGCGAGGAACAGAAACCAACAGGGAUUCCCUUAGUAGUGGCGAAUGAAUCGGGAAAAGCUCAAGUUUGAAAUCCGAAGUUUACCUCGGAGUUGUAAGCUGAAGAGGCGUCGAUCGAUCCGGUCCGGGCUCAAUUUUCCUUGGAACAGGAGGUCAUGGAGGGUGAGAACCCCGUCUGUGGCUCGGGUGCCGUGGUCCUUGUGUCGUGCCCUCGAAGAGUCGGGUUGUUUGGGAAUGCAGCUCAAAAUGGGUGGUAAAUUUCAUCUAAAGCUAAAUAUUGGCGAGAGACCGAUAGCAAACAAGUAGAGUGAUCGAAAGAUGAAAAG
RNAcentral lists this ribosomal RNA (817 nucleotides) under uncultured Pezizomycotina. Its description in RNAcentral is "eukaryotic LSU rRNA". The stretch from base 445 to 817 matches the Rfam family "Eukaryotic large subunit ribosomal RNA", at positions 1 to 371 of the family's 3401-position model. Lineage: Eukaryota; Fungi; Ascomycota. The record is from RNAcentral.